GCAUCGAUAGCUCAGUGGCAGAGCGGUGGGGCGUUUACCCAUGCGGACCGGGUUCGAUUCCCGGUCGAUGUA
Molecule: non-coding RNA, 72 nt
Organism: Phthorimaea operculella (potato tuberworm)
Lineage: Eukaryota; Metazoa; Arthropoda; Insecta; Lepidoptera; Gelechiidae
Source: the annotation of a GenBank genome assembly